CGGCGUCAUCAAGGACCAGCUUCGAGCCCCCUCGAUCGCCGAGAUGGACCGUGGAUCGGCAGCCCAAAACUCCCGCCUGUUGGAGGAGGUGUUCCGCGACAUCAAGGGCCGGCGAGCCGCCAUCAUCAGGGCGCUCACCACCGAUUUCGAGGACUUCUAUCAACAAUGCGAUCCCGG
Long non-coding RNA from Zingiber officinale, 177 nucleotides. RefSeq lists it as uncharacterized. The record is from RefSeq and is a predicted model, not a curated record. The transcript has 3 exons. Lineage: Eukaryota; Viridiplantae; Streptophyta; Magnoliopsida; Zingiberales; Zingiberaceae.